RNAcentral lists this long non-coding RNA (332 nucleotides) under Ananas comosus (pineapple). RNAcentral describes it as "long non-coding RNA (ACOM_LNC015069)". Lineage: Eukaryota; Viridiplantae; Streptophyta; Magnoliopsida; Poales; Bromeliaceae. The record is from RNAcentral.
UUUGUAAUCUUGAGAUUUGAUAGCUUUAAAUUUUUAAAUUUGAGAUUUAAAAAUAUAGAUUUUAAUUUUGAAUUAUAAAUUAUAAAUUAUAAAUUGUUAUUUUUAAUUAUUUAAAUUUUAAAUUUAAAUUUAAAUAUAAUAAUUGAGACAAUAUCAUUAUUUUUUAUUUAUAAUUACCCACUAUUUUCUUACUCAAUCUUAUCUAUCCAAACGUAAUUUUUCUUAAUUUCGUGAACAAUUCAAUUAUCAUUCAAAUAUAAAAUUAAUUUAAUUCAGACUUAACUCUGAAUUUAAUCCUACCUCUAAAAUAACUAGCUCUUAUUUAAUCCGGA